GUCACGCCCGAAGUCGUUACCCCCACCGAAAGGGGGGGGAUGCCUAAGGUAGGACUGAUGACUGGGGUGAAGUCGUAACAAGGUAGCCGUACCGGAAGGUGUGGCUGGAUCACCUCCUUUUAGGGAGACCUAAUCCAUUUAGAAAUCGAAAACAAUGAAAAUUGUCAAUAGAAACUAAAGUGGUCUAACCUAGGUCGUUCGAGAUUGGUAGAUAUCUUUCAAAGUAUUAUUCGGCUUCCUUCAAAACCAUAUAUAAAUGGAAAAAGACAGCACCUAAUUGUCAAAGUUAGACUGCUGGAUGAAAUUCCCGCCAGAACCUUGAAAACUGCAUAAGAGAACGAGAAAAAGCAGGCAGACACAGAUAUUUAGAUGGAUGUGAAAGCCAAAGAAAUUGUGGUCAAGCUAAUAAGGGCUAAUGGUGGAUACCCAGGCACCCAGAGG
RNAcentral lists this unclassified non-coding RNA (441 nucleotides) under uncultured Nostocaceae cyanobacterium. RNAcentral describes it as "partial contains 16S ribosomal RNA and 16S-23S ribosomal RNA intergenic spacer". The stretch from base 1 to 120 matches the Rfam family "Bacterial small subunit ribosomal RNA", at positions 1414 to 1533 of the family's 1533-position model. The record is from RNAcentral. Lineage: Bacteria; Bacillati; Cyanobacteriota; Cyanophyceae; Nostocales; Nostocaceae.